Monomorium pharaonis (pharaoh ant) is the source of this 1519-nucleotide long non-coding RNA. RefSeq lists it as uncharacterized. The record is from RefSeq and is a predicted model, not a curated record. NCBI's taxonomy places the organism in Eukaryota, Metazoa, Arthropoda, Insecta, Hymenoptera, Formicidae. The transcript is spliced from 2 exons.
GUUUUGGGACACCUUGUAUAUUAGAUAAAUACUUUUUAGCCAAUAAUAGAAUGUUGCCAGCUGGAUCGCCAGAAAACAAUUCCCUGCCGAGUAAAGCUAUUCAAAAUCUAAACCUGCUUUCUUAAGUAUGCCAAAAUUGUAAGCAAAAAAGUUGAAAUCACAUUGUAACAUCGAGAAUCAUUUUGUAAGUAAACAUACACUAUUUGUAGUAAAACAAAUUAUUAUUAAUGAAAUAUUUUGAUAUCAUUAUUUUUGUAGAGGAGGUUAAUAUGUGUGUGUGUGUGUGUGAAUAUAAUUUAAUUAAAAUAAUUGUUAGUUUAAUAAUUAAAGUUAUAUUUUGGUUGGUAUAAGAAGGCUCGUGUAUUACUUAGAUUGAAUUAAAUGAAGAUUAUCUUAGGUUUAAGAUGUGUUUUUUUUAAGACACACACUCGGCCUUUUUUUACUUUUUUUAAAAAGGUAAUUUUGUUUGGUUUAUUUUACUACAAAUAGUGUAUUUAUUUAUGAAAUAAUCCUUGAUUGUUGGACAAGCAUCCAUUGCUACUUCUAAACCCAUUCUUGUAAAGGCCAAUGUGGGUAGCAUAUUUUCCGUUUGCUGAAAGAUAAAAAGUGUAUACUAGUCAGCAGACUAUAUAACAAAGUAACAGUAAACAAUGACCAGGUCUGUCGAAAGCAUUUAUGACAUGUUGAUAAUAAACACAACAGUAUUUCUUCUAGUUUAAACAAUGUCGGUACAUUGCUGGCACAAACAGCACAUAUGCUUUAGUAGUACAAGCAAUUUUGACAAAUCUGCUCUCAGUUUGUUAUAUCAAUCUGUUGCUGCACUGUUGAUGAUAAAUCUACUUGAUGUUACAAUGUGAUUUUAACUUUUUUGCUUACAAUUUUGGCAUACUCGAGAAAGUAGCAGGCUUUGAAUUUGACAGUUUUACUCGGCAGGGAAUUGUUCUCUGGCGAGGUAGCAACAUUUCUCGAAGAGGAGACCCUACAGCCGCCGAUCGUCAAUUUGCGAUAGAUUGGUCGGUGGACUCAAGAAAUGUUGCUAUCUUACUUCAACGAGCACCCGACUCGUUUGAACGCUACGGUUCUCCGCGUAUGAGAAUAAAAAAUCACCUGAACAUCCAGGCCCUACUUAUAAAACAAUUAAUGAUAACAAAGUGACCGUCGCGUCCGUUUGUAAUCUAGAUCACGUUUUGACUUAAAUUUUUAUGCGGCAUUUAUAGAGAAUCUAGAGAAUAAAAUUUUAAGAUACAAAUAAUAAAUAAAUUGUUCAGAUAAGUAGUUUAAUUGCAAUUAAUUGACAAUAGUUGACCCUGUUAGCUUACUGAAACAUUUUAUAAUACGGUGCCAGAUCGUCAACGACGUAUGUAUGUACACACAGUUGGUCCCGGGUUUCGAGUAUUUCAGUGAGCCGGCAAAAAAUUUAUUUAACAUUUACAUUUUUAAAUCUUUAUCACUAGAGAGCACUCUCUAGUGAUCACAGUAAAAAUAGUGAAUAAUUUAAAUUUAAUCGCAUAGACCAAAA